RNAcentral lists this unclassified non-coding RNA (934 nucleotides) under uncultured cyanobacterium. Its description in RNAcentral is "bacterial SSU rRNA". It matches the Rfam family "Bacterial small subunit ribosomal RNA", at positions 378 to 1326 of the family's 1533-position model. Lineage: Bacteria; Bacillati; Cyanobacteriota. The record is from RNAcentral.
AAAGCCUGACGGAGCAAUACCGCGUGAGGGAGGAAGGCUCUUGGGUUGUAAACCUCUUUUUUCAAGGAAGAAAAAAAUGACGGUACUUGAAGAAUAAGCAUCGGCUAACUCCGUGCCAGCAGCCGCGGUAAUACGGAGGAUGCAAGCGUUAUCCGGAAUCAUUGGGCGUAAAGCGUCCGCAGGUGGCCAUUCAAGUCUGUUGUUAAAGACUAGAGCUUAACUCUGGAAAGGCAAUGGAAACUGUGUGGCUAGAGUAUGGUAGGGGUUGAGGGAAUUCCCAGUGUAGCGGUGAAAUGCGUAGAUAUUGGGAAGAACACCAGUGGCGAAGGCGCUCAACUGGGCCAUAACUGACACUCAGGGACGAAAGCUAGGGGAGCGAAAGGGAUUAGAUACCCCUGUAGUCCUAGCUGUAAACGAUGAACACUAGGCGUUGCUUGUAUCGACCCGAGCAGUGCCGUAGCCAACGCGUUAAGUGUUCCGCCUGGGGAGUACGCACGCAAGUGUGAAACUCAAAGGAAUUGACGGGGGCCCGCACAAGCGGUGGAGUAUGUGGUUUAAUUCGAUGCAACGCGAAGAACCUUACCAGGACUUGACAUGUCGCGAAUCUUUAGGAGACUAGAGAGUGCCUUAGGGAGCGCGAACACAGGUGGUGCAUGGCUGUCGUCAGCUCGUGUCGUGAGAUGUUGGGUUAAGUCCCGCAACGAGCGCAACCCUCGUUCUUAGUUGCCAGCAUUAAGUUGGGCACUUUAGGAAGACUGCCGGUGACAAACCGGAGGAAGGUGGGGAUGACGUCAAGUCAGCAUGCCCCUUACGUUCUGGGCUACACACGUACUACAAUGGUUGGGACAAAGGGCAGCAAGCUCGCGAGAGUAAGCGAAUCUCAUCAAACCCAGCCUCAGUUCAGAUUGCAGGCUGAAACUCGCCUGCAUGAAGG